RNAcentral lists this ribosomal RNA (253 nucleotides) under uncultured bacterium. RNAcentral describes it as "partial 16S ribosomal RNA". It matches the Rfam family "Bacterial small subunit ribosomal RNA", at positions 524 to 776 of the family's 1533-position model. The record is from RNAcentral.
UACAGAGGGUGCGAGCGUUAAUCGGAGUUACUGGGCGUAAAGGGCGCGUAGGCGGUUAUAUAAGUGAGAUGUGAAAUCCCUGGGCUUAACCUAGGAACUGCAUCUCAUACUGUAUGGCUGGAGUAUUGUAGAGGGUAGUGGAAUUUCCGGUGUAGCGGUGAAAUGCGUAGAGAUCGGAAGGAACACCAGUGGCGAAGGCGGCUACCUGGACAAAUACUGACGCUGAGGCGCGAGAGCGUGGGGAGCAAACAGG